Molecule: ribosomal RNA, 440 nt
Filed under: uncultured bacterium
Lineage: Bacteria
Description: partial 16S ribosomal RNA
Rfam family: Bacterial small subunit ribosomal RNA
Source: RNAcentral
CCUACGGGAGGCAGCAGUGAGGAAUAUUGGUCAAUGGGCUUACGCCUGAACCAGCCAAGUCGCGUGAGUGAAGAAGUAUUUCGGUACGUAAAGCUCUAUCAGCAGGAAAGAAAAUGACGGUACCUGACUAAGAAGCCCCGGCUAACUACGUGCCAGCAGCCGCGGUAAUACGUAGGGGGCAAGCGUUAUCCGGAUUUACUGGGUGUAAAGGGAGCGUAGACGGCAGGGCAAGUCUGGAGUGAAAUGCCGGGGCCCAACCCCGGAACUGCGCUGGAGACUGUGAAGCUGGAGUGCAGGAGAGGUAAGCGGAAUUCCUGGUGUAGCGGUGAAAUGCGUAGAUAUCAGGAGGAACACCGGCGGCGAAGGCGGCUUACUGGACUGUAACUGACGUUGAGGCUCGAAGGCGUGGGGAGCAAACAGGAUUAGAUACCCCAGUAGUC